RNAcentral lists this ribosomal RNA (253 nucleotides) under uncultured bacterium. RNAcentral describes it as "partial 16S ribosomal RNA". It matches the Rfam family "Bacterial small subunit ribosomal RNA", at positions 524 to 776 of the family's 1533-position model. The record is from RNAcentral.
UACGCAGGGGGCAAGCGUUAUCCGGAUUUACUGGGUGUAAAGGGAGCGUAGACGGCGAUGCAAGUCUGAAGUGAAAGCCCGGGGCUCAACCCCGGGACUGCUUUGGAAACUGUAUGGCUGGAGUGCUGGAGAGGCAAGCGGAAUUCCUAGUGUAGCGGUGAAAUGCGUAGAUAUUAGGAAGAACACCAGUGGCGAAGGCGGCUUGCUGGACAGUAACUGACGUUGAGGCUCGGAAGCGUGGGGAGCAAACAGG